AGAAAAUGAAGGACCCGAUCCACUGAACAAAGAAAAUGAAGGACAAGAAAGUUUAGUGCUAGUGCAAGAGACAGUACACAGCAGGGUGCUCAUAAAAUAGCUUCAACAUUAACACAUGUUAGUUUAUGAUGAUUCCAGUAAUAUAAACAGCUGUCCCAUGAAUAAUGAGUUUUAGACACAAUCUAGCAAAGAAGAUUGAUUUAAAUAGUCUACAAAAUUCGUAGCAAUAGCCAACAAAUGCUAUUUCUAGAAAUUCGUGGUUCAAUGAAAAGAAACAUAAAAAGAGAAAGAUUAGAAAGAACCUAUAAUCAUCAUCAUACACAGGUAAAUAUGAAUUCACAAUAGCUCUGGAGAACACCUCACAGAAACCAG
Molecule: unclassified non-coding RNA, 372 nt
Filed under: Hevea brasiliensis (rubber tree)
Lineage: Eukaryota; Viridiplantae; Streptophyta; Magnoliopsida; Malpighiales; Euphorbiaceae
Source: RNAcentral